CCUACGGGAGGCUGCAGUAGGGAAUAUUGCUCAAUGGGGGAAACCCUGAAGCAGCAACGCCGCGUGGAGGAUGAAGGUUUUCGGAUUGUAAACUCCUUUUGUUAGAGAAGAUAAUGACGGUAUCUCACGAAUAAGCACCGGCUAACUCCGUGCCAGCAGCCGCGGGAAUACGGAGGGUGCAAGCGUUACUCGGAAUCACUGGGCGUAAAGAGAGCGUAGGCGGGGUAGCAAGUCAGAUGUGAAAUCCUAUGGCUUAACCAUAGAACUGCAUUUGAAACUGUUAUUCUAGAGUAUAGGAGAGGUAGGUGGAAUUCUUGGUGUAGGGGUAAAAUCCGUAGAGAUCAAGAGGAAGACUCAUUGCGAAGGCGACCUGCUAGAACGUAACUGACGCUGAGGCGCGAAAGCGUGGGGAGCAAACAGGAUUAGAUACCCGAGUAGUC
RNAcentral lists this ribosomal RNA (440 nucleotides) under uncultured bacterium. RNAcentral's name for it is "partial 16S ribosomal RNA". It matches the Rfam family "Bacterial small subunit ribosomal RNA", at positions 338 to 795 of the family's 1533-position model. The record is from RNAcentral.